RNAcentral lists this transfer RNA (65 nucleotides) under Orthonychiurus folsomi. RNAcentral's name for it is "tRNA-Glu". The record is from RNAcentral. Lineage: Eukaryota; Metazoa; Arthropoda; Collembola; Poduromorpha; Onychiuridae.
ACUUUUAUAGUUUAAGUAAAACAUUAUUUUUUCAUAAUAAAGUUAGUAUAAAUCACUUUUAAGUU